CUGCCAAACAAUUCAUUCAUAUGCAUGCAAAAUAAAGCAUGUUUAAUAUUAAUAUAUUCAUCAGGAUAUGCUGACAAUUAAAAAUAUAACUGGUCUUUGUGUGCUAGUGAUCUUCAUUCGCAAUCUAAUACCAUAUAUUUGAUCAUAGAAAAUGAGCAUUAGAGGGUUGUAGCAAAAGCAAAUGAUGAUACCUCUAUAGGGGUAAGCAUCUUCUUUUCACUGAUCUUGUCAUAU
RNAcentral lists this unclassified non-coding RNA (234 nucleotides) under Hevea brasiliensis (rubber tree). Lineage: Eukaryota; Viridiplantae; Streptophyta; Magnoliopsida; Malpighiales; Euphorbiaceae. The record is from RNAcentral.